AUGUACAGAAGCUUGGCCCGUUAGACGCCUGCCCUUCAAGGUCGUGUAGCCGUCAUGCAUUUUUAGGGUUCAUCCUCCUGUGAAUUUUGAUUAGGUCUAAGAUCAAUGGAGGAUCUAAAAUUCCCGGAGAGAUACGAAUCUUCAUGUGUAAACAUUGCGUCUAUGUCGGUUCGUGUCGUGUCGUUUUGUUAUCGAUUCUAUCUCCUCACAGGCGUUACAAAUAGCAUUUAUUCAAUAUCAUUAACGAGUUCUUAACAACCACAAUCAAUCAUUCAAUGGUUCUUAUCCCUCUUCCAAACUCUGGAUCUUCACCUAUAAAAGAGCUUCAGCCAUUAAUGGUGGUGGAAUGAAAUCAGUUGGUGGCGGAGGAAAGAGGACAUCACUUGGCGGUGGUGAUGGUCGGAGUUGGUUUGUGUAACAGGCACCUGCACCCCCUGUCAAGUUCUCCAACGACACCGAGCGGCUUCAGUUUAUCGACAGCUUAAGAAAAGGUCUUGCUGGUGCUCAUAUCAAACAUGUUAUUGAACUCUUAAUUGAGGUUUCCGCUUCCUUCAAGGCAAGCCUUUACACCAGAGCAAAUAACGAAGGUUGUUUUGUUAUGUUAUUAAUUAUUAUGCUUGCCACAAGGCUGUUUUUGAUAAUUUGAGAAACAAUGUGUGUGCUAUUAAGGGAGGAGGUUCUUUUACAAGGUAUAAACUUUUCGCUUGAUUAAAGAUUUUUUCUCUUUUUGAACAACAAUCGUGCUGCUGUCACAUGCUAAGCACAAUGUCAAAGAUUAGACACAGGCCAUUGAACAUGUAAUGGCAAACUUAUGGUUUGACAGGUCCGUAACACAUGGAUUACAUUUUAAACGUUGACCACUUCAGUCGUGUGUUAGUUGUGGGUGUUAAAGAGUUUUUCAUUGUUCACCUUUCUGAAUUCAGAGCCACAUGUACAAAAUUAAACAUAUUCCAUGUUUACUGAUUUAGUUCUACUGGAUCCCCCUUUUUUUUUUUGGAAACGACAACCAUAGACGGCAGACUUUCUUUGGAUUGCGAAAGUUGAAAAGAUUGGCAUUUCUUAUGUAUGGUGCUACUUCGCCUGUGCAAAAUGUCCAAGCAAACUUCAACGUGAGUUGAUAUCAUUUACUUGCGGAGCAUGUCAUAAUGAGAAUGACGAUGGGGUUAUAAGGUACCGUGUGCAGCUUUCAGUGUCAGAUGGCUCGGAGAACAGUGAAUGUCUGUUCAGCCUGCUUUAGGCAGAGUCACAGUACUGAGUAGACAAGACAAUGGUUCCACCAUAGGAGUGUACAGCUAUAAAGGCACAUACUUAACUUCUCAAGUUUCCAAGAUUAUGACCUUACGUUUUACUCGCAAGCGUUGAUAUCACCUACUAAGUUUUCAAAUUAUUCCCACAAUAAAGUUACUUUUGAUUUGCUUAUUUGCUAUUUCUGGUCAACUUGACAAUGUUACUGCCACGACUUUCUGAUGUUGAGUUACGAUCAUGAAAAGCUACAAAAUCAUGGUCGUUGGAUUCUCAAUGGUUCUUUUAGUAACAUUUAACUUCAGAAGAUUAUGAUCACAUGGUUUGAACCUCUCACACUAAUAUCUUUAU
This is a long non-coding RNA of Brassica oleracea var. oleracea, 1593 nucleotides long. RefSeq lists it as uncharacterized. NCBI's taxonomy places the organism in Eukaryota, Viridiplantae, Streptophyta, Magnoliopsida, Brassicales, Brassicaceae. The record is from RefSeq and is a predicted model, not a curated record. The transcript is spliced from 3 exons.